RNAcentral lists this ribosomal RNA (465 nucleotides) under uncultured Klebsiella sp. Its description in RNAcentral is "bacterial SSU rRNA". It matches the Rfam family "Bacterial small subunit ribosomal RNA", at positions 338 to 795 of the family's 1533-position model. Lineage: Bacteria; Pseudomonadati; Pseudomonadota; Gammaproteobacteria; Enterobacterales; Enterobacteriaceae. The record is from RNAcentral.
CCUACGGGCGGCUGCAGUGGGGAAUAUUGCACAAUGGGCGCAAGCCUGAUGCAGCCAUGCCGCGUGUGUGAAGAAGGCCUUCGGGUUGUAAAGCACUUUCAGCGGGGAGGAAGGCGUUAAGGUUAAUAACCUUGUCGAUUGACGUUACCCGCAGAAGAAGCACCGGCUAACUCCGUGCCAGCAGCCGCGGUAAUACGGAGGGUGCAAGCGUUAAUCGGAAUUACUGGGCGUAAAGCGCACGCAGGCGGUCUGUCAAGUCGGAUGUGAAAUCCCCGGGCUCAACCUGGGAACUGCAUUCGAAACUGGCAGGCUAGAGUCUUGUAGAGGGGGGUAGAAUUCCGGGUGUAGCGGUGAAAUGCGUAGAGAUCUGGAGGAAUACCGGUGGCGAAGGCGGCCCCCUGGACAAAGACUGACGCUCAGGUGCGAAAGCGUGGGGAGCAAACAGGAUUAGAUACCCCAGUAGUC